This is a long non-coding RNA of Xyrauchen texanus (razorback sucker), 620 nucleotides long. RefSeq lists it as uncharacterized. The record is from RefSeq and is a predicted model, not a curated record. NCBI's taxonomy places the organism in Eukaryota, Metazoa, Chordata, Actinopteri, Cypriniformes, Catostomidae. The transcript has 3 exons.
AUUUAAAGAACCGCUAUGCCGGUUGUCAGCGCUCAUUUGCGAGUACGCUCAUCAAACUUCACUCAUUCAAUUGAAUACUCUGGUGACUGACCUGGGAGCGCUGAGACGCCGUUCCUCCUGGAGGUUAUUCGUUCGGCUCGCAGCCAGGAUUACUUUUUAUCAGAGGACAUUGGUCUGUCAUCAUUUCAUCACUUCAUUACUUGAUCGUGCUCACGGACUAUACAAACACCCGGACACUUCAAUGGUUACUUGCUGGGGGACAGAGGGUACCCUUGUCUGCCCUAUAUGAUGACACCCUACCCUGAACCUGAGCCUGGACCACAGGCACAAUUCAACCUGGCCCACAGCAGAACAUGGGUCAAGGUGGAAAUGACCAUAGGCAUCCUGAAGGCAAGGUUUCUGUGCCUGCGUGGGCUCAGGGUCAGCCCAGAAAGGUCAUGUGACCUCAUAGCUGCUUGUGCUGUUCUUCACAACAUUGCCACACUGAGAGGUGAGAGGGCCCCCCCUUCUCUUGAUGAAGAUGGCCAAGAGGAACCCCCAGUGAACCCAGUAGACCAAAGAGAUGGCAGGGUAGUACGAGACAUGAUUUGCCAAAAUCACUUUAAUUAAAACCAGUUAAC